CAGCAGCCGCGGGAAAACAGAGGGUGCGAGCGUUAAUCGGAUUUACUGGGCGUAAAGCGUGCGUAGGCGGCUUUUUAAGUCGGAUGUGAAAUCCCUGAGCUUAACUUAGGAAUUGCAUUCGAUACUGGGAAGCUAGAGUAUGGGAGAGGAUGGUAGAAUUCCAGGUGUAGCGGUGAAAUGCGUAGAGAUCUGGAGGAAUACCGAUGGCGAAGGCAGCCAUCUGGCCUAAUACUGACGCUGAGGUACGAAAGCAUGGGGAGCAAACAGGAUUAGAUACCCCCGUAGUCCCUGUCUCUUAUAA
Molecule: ribosomal RNA, 301 nt
Filed under: uncultured bacterium
Lineage: Bacteria
Description: partial 16S ribosomal RNA
Rfam family: Bacterial small subunit ribosomal RNA
Source: RNAcentral